This 510-nucleotide ribosomal RNA is filed under the name uncultured bacterium. RNAcentral describes it as "partial 16S ribosomal RNA". It matches the Rfam family "Bacterial small subunit ribosomal RNA", at positions 28 to 507 of the family's 1533-position model. The record is from RNAcentral.
GACGAACGCUGGCGGCGUGCUUAACACAUGCAAGUCGAACGAAGAGCGACGGAAGCUUGCUUCUAUCAAUCUUAGUGGCGAACGGGUGAGUAACGCGUAAUCAACCUGCCCUUCAGAGGGGGACAACAGUUGGAAACGACUGCUAAUACCGCAUACGAUCUAACCUCGGCAUCGAGGGUAGAUGAAAGGUGGCCUCUACAUGUAAGCUAUCACUGCAGGAGGGGAUUGCGUCUGAUUAGCUAGUUGGCGGGGUAACGGCCCACCAAGGCGAUGAUCAGUAGCCGGUCUGAGAGGAUGAACGGCCACAUUGGGACUGAGACACGGCCCAGACUCCUACGGGAGGCAGCAGUGGGGAAUCUUCCGCAAUGGACGAAAGUCUGACGGAGCAACGCCGCGUGAGUGAUGACGGCCUUCGGGUUGUAAAGCUCUGUUAAUCGGGACGAAAGGCCUUCUUGCGAAUAGUGAGAAGGAUUGACGGUACCGGAAUAGAAAGCCACGGCUAACUACGUG